Molecule: long non-coding RNA, 1896 nt
Filed under: Marmota monax (woodchuck)
Lineage: Eukaryota; Metazoa; Chordata; Mammalia; Rodentia; Sciuridae
Source: RNAcentral
ACUGUCGAGGAUGGGUGGCAGUGGGGGGACACACAUGAGAGCCAGUGAGGGACACCUUGGUGCUCAGAGAGGUGGAAGGAGGCUUGGAGAGGCUCUGCCCCCGAUUCCCACUCACUCCUUUGCUCCAUCCUGCCGGUUCCCUGGAGGUAAGGUAUGCCCACCACCUCCGCCCCAGCAGGCAGCACUGGCGUCCUUCCACCCAGACCUUCAGUGGCUUCAUGCGGUCGACUUUGGACUUCCAGCCAGGACAGACCUCUGCUGGGUUUGGGGAGGCUUAGGGUUUGCUGAACACUGAAGCUUCUCCCUGCACAGGGACACAGACAGAGGCUGAGAACUGCCAUCGUCAGAGCUCCCAGCUCUGCACUCCAAGUGCUGCCCCAGAUUUGAGCCUCGGGGCUCAUAGAGGUGAUCUUAUUUGGAAAAAGAAAAGUUAGGUAUCUGCAUGUUGAGGACCUUGGGAUGACAUCACUUUAUAUUAUCUGGGUGAGCCCUGAAUCUGAAGACAAGCAUCACCGUGACAGAAGGUGGAAGGAGAUCUGAGGAGAGCCCAUGUGGAGAGCCAGGGGUGACGGGGCUGAAGGGGCAGGAGGACCCCAGGGACACCCUGGGGUGUCAGAGGGAGCUGCCCUGCGGGCACCCUGGUGUUAGGUUUCUUUGGAAGCGUGAGAGAACACAUUUCCUCUGCUGGCCCUGUCCAGGUGUAGGCCCGAAGUCUAUGCCGAGGGCUCAGGCUGGAGAGUGGCACUAAGGUCUCUAGUUCCUUUGCUUCUCCAGUCACAGCAUGGUCUUCCUGAGAGGGGACCCAACUCCAGCCUCUGUUCCUAGCACCAAAAGCCUAGCCGUGCUCCACUCCCACUCCUUCAAGUCCAGUAAAGGACUUUCUCUGCGCUGGUCAAACACCAAGACUGGCUGGGAGGUGUGCUGUGCACUCCGACCCGUUCCUUUCCAUGAAGGGACACAGGGUGGCAUUGAGCUCAAGGCUCAGCCCUGGGAGGGCUUCCUCUGUGCCCUCAUCUGUGGGCAGCAUGCAGGGUGGUGUCCAGGAUUCCCUGGACACCUGGAAGGUUCUGGGGGGGUCCUGUCAUGAGGGCACAUGGCUGGCAGGUGCCAGGUGGGCGGCAGGGAGCGGGGAGGUGGGAGCUCCAGGGGUGCCCGGAUUGGAUCACAGAGCUGCCUUCUGCUCGGCUCUGGCUCUCACUCAGGCUCUGGCUCAGGCAGGGCAGGUGCUGAUUGAGAUCCUUGUUCCACCCUGUGCUGUGGGGCCCAUACACAAGGAAGCUGAGGUGGGUGAGUUAGGGAACCCCGCUCGGUGGACAGGGCUAGAGCUCCAGCAGACCCUUGAAGCUGCUCCUGCUGCAUCCAGCACCCAGUUGCCGGACGAUGGCAGCUGGGCAGGGCAGGUGGGGCAGUUCUGGGGUGAAGGAGGCCCACACCUGUGAUAAUGCACCCCAUAACGCUGGCUCCUCCUAAGUAUAAUGGGGCAGCUGAGUUCACGAGGGCAGAAGCUGAGCCAGGACCUGCUGGGCAAGUCUGGGCCAUGGCCUGGAGCAGAAGAUGGGAACAGAGAUGCGUGGAGCCUCGGAGGGAAAAGCCGCUAGGCAGGAAUCUGAGUGGUGUGACCAUCCGCAUUAGUUGUCAGCUGAACCAGGCCACGGUCCCCAGGCCUUAUCAAACAUGCCUGUGGGUGCCCCUGGGACAAACUUCUCCAGCUGGCUGGCCUUACGUACAGGAGACCAUCCUUGAAACUGUGAGUGCCAGCGAGUUGGGAGGCCCUGGGAGCAGAGCUAGGCCUCUCGGGGAGCAGGAGUUUGCCCCCUGUGGACUGCCAGGACUUGAGACCUGCCUAGCUGCCCUGCGAGCUCAGUGGUCAUACUGUGUGUCCCCCACAGCUUCUGC